This 1330-nucleotide ribosomal RNA is filed under the name Enterococcus faecium. RNAcentral's name for it is "bacterial SSU rRNA". It matches the Rfam family "Bacterial small subunit ribosomal RNA", at positions 211 to 1533 of the family's 1533-position model. Lineage: Bacteria; Bacillati; Bacillota; Bacilli; Lactobacillales; Enterococcaceae. The record is from RNAcentral.
GGUGUCGCUGAUGGAUGGACCCGCGGUGCAUUAGCUAGUUGGUGAGGUAACGGCUCACCAAGGCCACGAUGCAUAGCCGACCUGAGAGGGUGAUCGGCCACAUUGGGACUGAGACACGGCCCAAACUCCUACGGGAGGCAGCAGUAGGGAAUCUUCGGCAAUGGACGAAAGUCUGACCGAGCAACGCCGCGUGAGUGAAGAAGGUUUUCGGAUCGUAAAACUCUGUUGUUAGAGAAGAACAAGGAUGAGAGUAACUGUUCAUCCCUUGACGGUAUCUAACCAGAAAGCCACGGCUAACUACGUGCCAGCAGCCGCGGUAAUACGUAGGUGGCAAGCGUUGUCCGGAUUUAUUGGGCGUAAAGCGAGCGCAGGCGGUUUCUUAAGUCUGAUGUGAAAGCCCCCGGCUCAACCGGGGAGGGUCAUUGGAAACUGGGAGACUUGAGUGCAGAAGAGGAGAGUGGAAUUCCAUGUGUAGCGGUGAAAUGCGUAGAUAUAUGGAGGAACACCAGUGGCGAAGGCGGCUCUCUGGUCUGUAACUGACGCUGAGGCUCGAAAGCGUGGGGAGCAAACAGGAUUAGAUACCCUGGUAGUCCACGCCGUAAACGAUGAGUGCUAAGUGUUGGAGGGUUUCCGCCCUUCAGUGCUGCAGCUAACGCAUUAAGCACUCCGCCUGGGGAGUACGACCGCAAGGUUGAAACUCAAAGGAAUUGACGGGGGCCCGCACAAGCGGUGGAGCAUGUGGUUUAAUUCGAAGCAACGCGAAGAACCUUACCAGGUCUUGACAUCCUUUGACCACUCUAGAGAUAGAGCUUCCCCUUCGGGGGCAAAGUGACAGGUGGUGCAUGGUUGUCGUCAGCUCGUGUCGUGAGAUGUUGGGUUAAGUCCCGCAACGAGCGCAACCCUUAUUGUUAGUUGCCAUCAUUCAGUUGGGCACUCUAGCAAGACUGCCGGUGACAAACCGGAGGAAGGUGGGGAUGACGUCAAAUCAUCAUGCCCCUUAUGACCUGGGCUACACACGUGCUACAAUGGGAAGUACAACGAGUUGCGAAGUCGCGAGGCUAAGCUAAUCUCUUAAAGCUUCUCUCAGUUCGGAUUGCAGGCUGCAACUCGCCUGCAUGAAGCCGGAAUCGCUAGUAAUCGCGGAUCAGCACGCCGCGGUGAAUACGUUCCCGGGCCUUGUACACACCGCCCGUCACACCACGAGAGUUUGUAACACCCGAAGUCGGUGAGGUAACCUUUUUGGAGCCAGCCGCCUAAGGUGGGAUAGAUGAUUGGGGUGAAGUCGUAACAAGGUAGCCGUAUCGGAAGGUGCGGCUGGAUCACCUCCUUU